CUUCAUGGUCAUCUCUUAGUAUUUUAUUCUGUUUCUGCCUUUACUAAUGCUCUCUGGCACUUGAUCUGGAAACUCUCUUUUCCAUUAACUUCCCAAACCCUGCUCCCGUGGUUAUCCCUCUCCCCAUCCAACCCCUCUUUCUCUGCCAACCCUCAGCGUGACUUCGGCCCUCGUCCUCUUCGCUUCCCACUUGACAUGCUCCCCUGUGGACCAUUCUACCCUUUGGCCAGAGUUGCCUCAGUAUGUAUCUCCAGACUUCACUUCCCUGAACCCCAUACCUUAAUCCAGUUUGCCUCCCAGACAGCUUGUCCCAGAUAUCUUGUAGGUCCUUCUGUCUAAAGCUUGGUUCCUUAUCCUGCCCACUUUCCCCACCCUCUCUGCUCUUUAGCAAGCCCCUGUUCACCUGGGCAAGAAAGCUGGAAACCCCACUGUGGGCAUUCGCCCUCUGACCACCUGCCUGCCUCUGCUUCUAUCUCUGAAAUGUCCCUUGGAUGUGUUUCUUUUGAAAAAGUCCUAUGGUGCCCCAUGAGUCUGACCUUCUUCUCCCACUUUCUUGCCACAGCUUCUAUAAUAUCAGCCGCUCUGAGCCAUUGCAGAAGUGCAGGCAUGUUCUGAUUUUUCAAGCGAAGAUAAAAGUCCAUAUUUUAAUGUAAACUUUCCCAGUCUUUAAAAUGUUUGUCACUAAUUUAAAAGAUUUUAUAAGACCACGUGCACCUUUGUAGGCUACUAGUUUGUGAUUUUUUUUUUUUUUAAACAUAAGAUAAAAAUAUUGUAAGAAAAUGAUAAGUGAUUUUAUUUUCGUUGGGCAUGGGAAAGCGCUUUAUGUCAGAAUGUCAAAACAAAACAUGUUUGACUAAAUAAAAGGGGGAAAAUACUUUGGCAAAAUAAAAAUUACUAUAAACGCUAUAAACAAAGUUAAAGUAUAAGAUGAUAAUAUGGGAAGAAAACAUUUUCAGGUAAAAGGUUAAUGUACUUAUUAUAAAACCAUGCUUAUAAAUCAAUGAGAAAAACCAAACUUAAAAAAAACUCCGCACCCUGAGAAAUGAGCAAAGGACAUGUAGAAAUGCAAGUGCAUUGUAGGCAUCUGAAAUAAAGCUUGUCCAUAUUUGCAACCAAUGAAAUAGAAAUAAAAAAGGCAUGAGCAAUAAGUGUUAGCCUGUUAGGUAGGAAAAGGCUGAUAUUGCCGUGUGUUGAAAUAGAAAUAAAAAAUAGAAAUAAAAAAGGCAUGAGCAAUAAGUGUUAGCCUGUUAGGUAGGUAAAGGCUGAUAUUGCCGAGUGUUGAAAUAGAAAUAAAAAACAGAAAUAAAAAAGGCAUGAGCAAUAAGUGUUAGCCUGUUAGGUAGGUAAAGGCUGAUAUUGCCGAGUGUUGUGAAUAUGGGGAAACGGACAUGCUGUUAUACUCUUGGUGGAAAUGUGAAUUAGGAAUUUUCUCCUAGAAUAUUGCACCCAAGAGUUUCAGCAAGAUCCUGGCAAAUUCGGAAAAGAGAAAACAGAUUAAUCAUAAGAAAAAUCAUAGUUCCAGGAGAAUAAUGAAAAGGGCCUUAAAGGCAGGAAUUAAAGUGAAAAAUACUGAUAACUGCAAACUCAGUGAAGGAUAAAUUCUCUGGUUUAAGGAAUCUCACUGCCUAGGCUGGAAGCUACAACUCCGAUUUGACCCCUAGCCUGGGAACUUCCACAUGCCUUGGACGCAGCCUAAAAAACAAAACAAGCAAAAAUCUCAGCAGAUCCAGCAGGAUAAAUUUUUCAAAAGAUCCUAAAUACACUGUAGCAAAUUCCAAAAACACCAAAGACUUAAAAGAGAUGUUUAAAGCUGCCAGAAGGAAAAGACAGAUCCUCUUUUUAAAAAACCAAUUAGCAACAAAGAUAGAAUCCAAAA
This 1876-nucleotide long non-coding RNA is filed under the name Sus scrofa (pig). Its description in RNAcentral is "lncRNA (ENSSSCG00065036873.1)". The record is from RNAcentral. Lineage: Eukaryota; Metazoa; Chordata; Mammalia; Artiodactyla; Suidae.